This is a long non-coding RNA of Spea bombifrons (plains spadefoot toad), 377 nucleotides long. RefSeq lists it as uncharacterized. Lineage: Eukaryota; Metazoa; Chordata; Amphibia; Anura; Pelobatidae. The transcript has 4 exons. The record is from RefSeq and is a predicted model, not a curated record.
AAGUUAACCAUAUAUACCCCUGGACUUAGUGCUACAUGCAGGAUGAUCCGAUGUACCAUGGAACAAAACGAGCCAGUUGAAUCAUUUCAGAAGAUCUUCAAACCUGCUUGGAAGAUCUUGCGUAUGUGUCAUAUUCUCCUGGUGCCUGAGGAAUGAACCCUUCACACUGGAAGUCUUUUGUCUGUGUGAUGCUCAGAUGUGAAUUUGUGUCAACUAUCCUUCAAAGCCUGUUCCAAGUAGAUCUGUAACAGCUACCAGAAUGGCUUGAGAUGUCUGGAAGAUCUUUCAUCCUUCAAGCUUCCUCUCCUGAAGAUCUCUAGAACUUCAACUUCACUGCCAAAGCAAAUGUAUCUCCACUCAUCAGACGCUGAUCCUCU